UAACAAGGAUUCCCCUAGUAGCGGCGAGCGAAGCGGGAAGAGCUCAAAUUUAUAAUCUGGCACCUUCGGUGUCCGAGUUGUAAUCUCUAGAAAUGUUUUCCGCGCUGGACCGCACACAAGUCUGUUGGAAUACAGCGGCAUAGUGGUGAGACCCCCGUAUAUGGUGCGGAUGCCCAGCGCUUUGUGAUACAUUUUCGAAGAGUCGAGUUGUUUGGGAAUGCAGCUCAAAUUGGGUGGUAAAUUCCAUCUAAAGCUAAAUAUUGGCGAGAGACCGAUAGCGAACAAGUACCGUGAGGGAAAGAUGAAAAGCACUUUGGAAAGAGAGUUAACAGUACGUGAAAUUGUUGGAAGGGAAACGCUUGAAGUCAGACUUGCUUGCCGAGCAAUCGGUUUGCAGGCCAGCAUCAGUUUUCCGGGAUGGAUAAUGGUAGAGAGAAGGUAGCAGUUUCGGCUGUGUUAUAGCUCUCUACUGGAUACAUCUUGGGGGACUGAGGAACGCAGUGUGCCUUACGGCGGGG
RNAcentral lists this ribosomal RNA (518 nucleotides) under Rhodotorula dairenensis. Its description in RNAcentral is "partial 26S ribosomal RNA". It matches the Rfam family "Eukaryotic large subunit ribosomal RNA", at positions 66 to 593 of the family's 3401-position model. The record is from RNAcentral. Lineage: Eukaryota; Fungi; Basidiomycota; Microbotryomycetes; Sporidiobolales; Sporidiobolaceae.